Labrus bergylta (ballan wrasse) is the source of this 6784-nucleotide non-coding RNA. Lineage: Eukaryota; Metazoa; Chordata; Actinopteri; Labriformes; Labridae. The record is from RefSeq and is a predicted model, not a curated record.
CCAAAAGCCGCGUGGACUUCGCGCGAGCCGCUCGAGCACUCUUUUGGCUGGCCUUCGUUUCACUUCGUGGAAUUGUGUCGCAUCCGGUCUGACCGAGUCCACGAACAAGAGGAGACCUUUCCCACCCCCCCCCCCCCACCCCCACCGGGUAUUUUCCACGAGUUUCGUUUCAUGGACACUCUGUGGAAAUCAUUUGUGUUCAUGAUAGCAGCGAGGUCUGGUGCCGAUUCAGUGCACUAUCAAAGCAGAGUUUCUACACUAUGAGCAGCCAGUCCAUCCCAAGCCACGUUGACCCAUUGUUCGGAAGAAAGAUGCCAUUGUAUGAUGGGACCAUUUCAUCUGCAGGACUGUCGAAACCCCAAACUAUGUCUGAUUUGCGUGGCGGGCAUACCUUGCAGUAUAGCGGGGCCUGUUUUCCUUAUGACCCAAGAGGAAAAGAAGCGGCAGAGUUCACUCCUCCUUGGAGAAAGACUCCUCUGCUUUAUGACAGAAAUCCUAUGAGUCACCUCUCUGGCCGGGAGGGACAAAACCACAUCAUUUACAGCAAUUCUUCAGAAGAAGGCCAUCCCUCCUCCUGCAUCAAGCUGCAGUAAAACAGGGCUUUACAUUAUACACUAAAAGUCCUAGGAUGAGCAGUCCUGCAGCUGCUACACCAGGGACUAGUAGAAAACAAAAAAAUGGAACUGAGAAAUUAUCGCCCCCCUCUGAAAACACAAUUUACUUAGCCAUUCCUAAACCAGUUUAUGGACUAAGCCCUUGUUGUAGUGAAUUGGGUUGUGUGAUAGGACAUCAGUACAGUGUGGAUCAUGGUUCUCCGAGGAUACCAAAACAAGUGUAUGAACAUGAGUGGAUGCAAACUGAUGCUCACUACACUGAGAGAGGAAAAGCACAAGACGCAAUGCUGCAACAGAGAGGUUUACCGUGUGAGCCCAGUGCAGAGGCACUGAGGAGGAUGACAGUGGGGACAUACAGCCCAGGUAGAGAUAGGACCUUUCCUGCUAUGAUUGAUCCAAACUACAGCAGCUACCCCUUCGCCCUACCGCACACUUUGUUUGGUUCUUUAAGUGAGCAGGGCCAGCGUAUACAGACUUCUCCCAGAGGCUACCCCAGCUUCUACCCCUCCCACCCUACAUACGAGCAUAUGACCUCAGAGGUUUAUCAGGAACAUUCUCCCAUGUCCAAAUAUGGCCAGCUAACACAGCAACCGAUGUUUUACUACCCUCAGGCAAAUGUGGAGGUAGAAAAUAGGACACAGUGUAAAGAUAUUGGCAGCAAGCAGAGAGAAGAUGUCCCUGUUAUUCUUAAACAUUCAAUCUCCGACCACAGAGAGCAUUACAUGGUUCCCCAGUCGCUUCAUGGUAAAAUCCCUCUGCCUUUGUCUGAUGAAACUUUGCAUAAUCAUUCCCUCAUGCACGGUUUUAACCAUCAAGCUUUUGCAGUUCCUGGACUUCACUCAAACACAAACCAGAUAAGACAGCUCUUGAAUUCUAAUCACAGAAAUGUUUCUCCAUCAAGAUCAUACAUAGAUCACCCUAUGACCACUGCAAGCAACCUACGUAAGGACAGACCCAACGCAAACCUGCCCCAAACCACUUCACCAUUUCAUGUGAAUCAAACUAGUCCUUCAAGGGGUACAAGCCAACCCGGUAUCUCGCCAUCCAGCAUUGAAGUUAACAGAUUUUACCCCCCGCUCACUGGCCUACACAUAGACCGACCCGUCCUUCCACCGACUGCCUUGAACGCGAAUCAACUCCGGGACUAUUCCUCCUUUGAAGCUCAGGUUAAGUGUCCAAUGCAGGCAAAAGGUCUUCCUGUUUCCUCAUGGGCAUGGCUGCCCCGGCCCCUCCAUCACAGCUCAGGGUUAGUCCAAACAUCUUUACCAGAUAGUGUAAAUGUCCCAAAAAUAAUUUAUUCCCCUGCUGAUACACCAGGAAAAAACAUCCAGUGCCAUAUGUCCAGUCCAAGCACUGCUGUUCCUAAGAAAUGCCUAAAGAGAAGUAUGUCUCACUCAUCUUCCCCUGUCAAAAUAGAAAAAGAGGAUCGGGAAUUAUAUCAGACGGAUCUCUUUAAGAAAAGACAAAAGGUGAAAAUGGAGAAUAUACAAGAGAAAAACAAAAGUGACUCUUGUAUGCCGAUUAUUGACAAUGUCUUCAGUCUGGCACCUUACCAAGCAUACCUGCAGGCCCCAGGACUGCUAUUUCCCGGCAGAGUGUCUCAGAUAAUCGCACAUUCGUCUGAGCACCGGGAGGUGAAAAGCAGGCCAGACAUCAAAGAGAAAAAGCUAUGUCAGGAUAAACAGCAGCCUGAAGUCUGUCUACUUUCCGAAGAAGUCUGUGCAGAUACUCCAACAGAGAACCCUGGUGUAGAAAUGAUUGAACUUGAAAAUAUAAAAGUGGAAAAAGUAGAUCCGUCAGACAAGGACAACUCUCUUAUUGCGAGGGACUGCAGCAAAGAAAUGAUCCAAAAGGAGUCCAAAGGUACUGAUUCUGAUCCUGAUGAACUUGAAGCUAAACCCUUACAGGAAGAGCAAAAAGAGGCUGCUGAUGUGUCUAAACCUGGUGAAGAGACUGCACUGAUGAAUAUAUUGGGUCAGGAUGAUGCAUUAACACCUUGGGAAAAGUGGUCACCAUUAAACCUAACCCCAACACAUCCUCUCAACUACUUGAGAACAGACUCAAAUUCAAAAAUAUUCCUCCCCAGUGUCUGAAACUUUCCAGUUACAAAAUUGUUUUCCAUGGUAUAAACCAUUCUAGCCCUGUUCUGCCUCUUGAAAAGACUCCUGUAAAACCAAUGACUGAAUUUGUACCAAAACCUGAGCCCCAAACACCAGUCCGCAAGCACUUCUUUGAGUUGCACCAUUCUCUCUGCAAGCUUGUAUCCAAAUCUGUUCUGGUUCCUUCAAAGCAUGACCUCAAGACCUGGUUGUCCCAGCUUGAACUGAGUGGACCAGCAUCUCCGCCAACAAAAGUCAAGAAGAUUUCCUGCUUGUUUGGGAUAAAAGGCAGAGAGGUUUGGCUUACUGAGGAGAUGAAGUCCGCCCUCCACACGCUCCUGGAGCGGCUGAGGGAGUAUACGGCUCAGGAACGUUGUCCAUUCCCUCAUGUCAUGCGAACAGGGGCGGUGUUCCUCCCCAUGCUGGUGGUGAAGGAGCUGCUGUUUCCGACUGUUCAGGGCAGCCUCAUCGACCAGGUCCUGCAGGAGCACAAAGUGGAGCUGCGACCCACCACGCUCUCGGAAGAAAAAAUCCUCAUCCAGCUCCACAAACGAGCCUGUUCGUCCAGGCUCCGGAAACUGAUGUCGCUCAAGCACCUGCCUGACAUCUACGCCGACGUGGUCAACCUGAUGUACUACACCUGUGUCUGCAAACACCUGGGUGAGUGAAUGUUUACAUCAGAGUUACCAAGGUAACAUAACAAGUGAAUAUUGAGUAAAUAAGUUCAAUCAGGAGAGACAAUUGAAUAAAGACAAUUAUUUAUUACAAUCAAAUAUGGAAACGUUCCUUCACAGAAAUAAUUUUGGCGCUUGGACUCUAUGGGUAGAAUGUGUAGAAUGACAAUUCUUAGCAAGGUCAGAAUAAAUUCCCCCCCCCCCAUGGAGUCCAGACACUGGUGGUGGUGAAGCUGAUGACUUGAUGAGACCAGAUGGGAUGAGAAAUGAUGGAUGAUGAUUCUGCGAGAUGGCGGUGUUGGGGAGUGGAGGGGCGCACAAAACGUCAGCAUACUACGGGAGAGAAAGAAUCAUAUUUAAAAGGGGAGCAGUACGAUGAUAGGGCGGAACACCAUGCCAUUGGUUAGAUGAGUACCGCUGACGAUACAGCUGAUUAACCAAUGACAGCCCACAGAAGAUGAAAGCUCAAGAAUGACAGCGGAAACGAGAGUAAAGCAGUUAUAUAGUCUUCCUUACUGAAGUUACGCUAGAGCUUCAUUAAGUAAAUGGGUAUUACAGUUUUAAUGUUUUAAUCCUUUAAAAAAUGUUGAUAUGUGUUUUCUUAAUAAGUCUUUCCUUAGGAUGUUGGUUCAGAAGUUUGUCUUCUUUGUGUGAUCAAGACAAAUAAUGUAGAGGUGCUGCAUUUGGUAACAGUAAAACAGAAAAUGAUGGAAGCAACUACUUGUUUGACCAACACUGAAGUAAAAAAAGGGUCCAAGAAGGAGGCUGAAAAUGAACGAAUAAUGAACAUGUAUUCAAGGAGCGAAAGGACUGGGUCUCCAUAUUUCAUACCUUUUAAAAAAAAUAAUAAUAAUAAUUAAAAAAAACAUGACCUGACCAUUAUUGGCCAAUAUCCAUUAGUUUUGAAACUGCUCCGGACAAGUGAUAACUUCAGCAGAUACAACAUAAAGGUUUGUAGAAUUAGAGCAUACUGUAUUUGACAGUGUUGGUGUUUAAGAUGGAUUCAUAAACUCUUCUGGGAUUGUAUCCAAAAUGAAUAAAUCCUUUUAAAUUGAUCAAAUAAUGGUAUCAAAUGAAGUAUAGGGUUUGUUGGUAUUCUCUUCAUCUGUUACACAUCCAUACAUUAUCUUUUUAAAUGUUGUACAACUACUUAAGCAGUUCAGGGAAGCGUCUUUAAAAAAAUAUUGCUUUCAACCUCAGCAUGAAUCAGCUUGAAAAAAAGCAAGGUCAUCUUAUUUCUCACGACUUACUGUAGUAUGAUACUCUGUGGAAUUUCAGUCUCAGGUACUGAAACUCUUUCAGGUCAAAUAUACCAAUGUUCUCGACAUAACGUCGGUGCAUUUGACCUUUUUCUAUAAUUGAACCCUGUGUUAUUUACUGUGAAGAACAGCACUUCCUUAUUCUAGAUUUCUAGAAUCCCCAUUGAGUGCGGUAUGCAGCUUCAUAUUUAGACUGUUAACUGUAACAUUGUAAACCUACAAAACACAAUUGGUUAUCUUAUAACUCAUUAGCCCCUUUAGAGAAUCAUUGAAAAGGAAUGGCAAAACACUUCAAUGUUCUGUAUAAAAUCCAUUUAUUUUUUCCAGAAUCAACCUCACCUGAUGGCCAAAAGAAAGUCCAGGAUUAAAAAUGGACGAUUCUGUUUUCAAAGAAAAAGAUGACGGUUGUGAGGAAUCUAUCAGCUGCAGGAGCCCUAUGUUUUCAGACACCACAGUGUCACCAGCCUCGCUUGCAGAGUUGCACCCACAGAGACACCCGAAUGAGGAAGCUAAUGUGAACAAGAAUAGAACCAAAACCAGGGUGAAGACCAGCUCCAGGCGCAUGUUUCUCGACAACAGUAUGUCAGAUGAGGAAGAGGCAGAUGACACAGAAAAGACUGUGGAGGUAGGUGUUUUUAAUGCUGAAGCAGAGCAGGACUCUUCUUUGAGCACAACUUCUGAUAAUUCAUGGACCUGUCCUUUAACUGUGGACGAACUUUCCUCAUCUCCAAGUGACAUUGAAGCAGAGGAGUCCUCUAGUCCUGAUACUCAGUACUCUCCACCAGAUAAAUCUCUGGUUAGAUCCAAAAAAUGUUCAGGCGUGAUUCUCAAACUGAGACGAAUGUUAAGCAAAGAUCUAAACAGGAAAACUGCCUGCUACCAAGCCAUCUCGGACUCAGGGACACGUGUUGAUCCUUCUCGGACUGAUGAUAGGGAUGGAGAAGUGAGCAGCGAGAUGGAGCUUCACCGGCAGACUCCCAGGAUGACCCACAGGUGGCAGAGAACAGGAAACUUCUGCCCCGCCUUAAGACCCAUCAGCAGCUCUUCAAAAAGAAAGCACAGAUCGCUUUUAAAGAUCAAAUACUGUCCCUACUUGUCCGCCUGCCACAGCGCCGAAACCAGGAAACGAUGGGGUGCUGCGUUCGGCUGUUCAGAGGGCACGCAUGGCCAUGAGGUUAUACUACCCGGACCUAGUGGGUAAGAGGAUUCUACAUCUGUAUGAAGAAGAUGACAAAUCAGAAGUGUGGUACAGAGGAGAAGUGAUGCGUAUCCAUGAGGCCCACACCAACCCUCUAAAGACAAUAUUUGAGGUCCAGUACGACAGCGAGCCGGAGUGGAAGUACUACCUGGAGCUGAUGAUAGAUUAUAAAAAAGGCUGGCUGAAAAUAGAUGACUAGUUGCGCCACAAAAACAUCCAGGUGUUUUUUUUUUUUUUUUUUGGUUUAAAGCGCAUAAUUCAUUGACUUGUCAUUAAAUCCAUGGCGAUGACAGCAUGAUAAGCCUUAAAUAUCUUUCUGGCCUCCUCAGGAAAAGACGUUUGACUGGAUCGGUUUUUCUAUUGAGGUUAUAUUCUUUGUUACCUAAGAGCUUCAGGGUGCAUUUAAGGAAACAACUACAGCAAACGUACAGCAUUCUGUUCAUGUUCUGGUAAAGUGCUCAUCAAUAUGAAGCAUUAACAAAUGGCCUUUCUGUUGUAUUCAAUAUUGAGACUGUAAUGUGAGACAGGGUUGACUGUUUAUAUUUAAAAAUGUUCAAAAAGGUUUCCCUCACACUUCUAAAUUAUUAGCGACUUUGACUGUAAGGAUUUAUGUCCAACUGUGUGAGCCACGUGUGUUUACAGUAAUAUAUUGCCUGAGGUGGAUGUCAUAGCAGUGAUUUUUUUUACCAUGAUGAUUGUUGUUUUGAUUGUAACUGAUGCUAGGCAGGCAUUCAGGAGGUUCAGUAUGAAGCUCCUCAACAGUUGUUUUUUUUAUGACAGUCAGAGAUAUGCCCCUGCCAUUGUUGUGAAUUACUGUGAACCUUGCCACUUUAACCUUAUGCCUUAUUUUGUAUAAUUUUCUUAUACAUGUGUUCAUAAAAAAAUGAAAACAUCAUUCCCAUUGUUGUCUUUCAUAAAUGUUUUUCAUGCUUUUAUUUUA